UACGGAGGGGGCAAGCGUUAUUCGGAAUUACUGGGCGUAAAGCGUGCGCAGGCGGUUAUGUAAGACAGUUGUGAAAUCCCCGGGCUCAACCUGGGAACUGCAUCUGUGACUGCAUAGCUAGAGUACGGUAGAGGGGGAUGGAAUUCCGCGUGUAGCAGUGAAAUGCGUAGAUAUGCGGAGGAACACCGAUGGCGAAGGCAAUCCCCUGGACCUGUACUGACGCUCAUGCACGAAAGCGUGGGGAGCAAACAGG
RNAcentral lists this ribosomal RNA (253 nucleotides) under uncultured bacterium. Its description in RNAcentral is "partial 16S ribosomal RNA". It matches the Rfam family "Bacterial small subunit ribosomal RNA", at positions 524 to 776 of the family's 1533-position model. The record is from RNAcentral.